GAUGAACGCUGGCGGCGUGCCUAAUACAUGCGAGUCGAGCGAACGGACGAGAAGCUUGCUUCUCUGAUGUUAGCGGCGGACGGGUGAGUAACACGUGGAUAACCUACCUAUAAGACGGGGAUAACUUCGGGAAACCGGAGCUAAUACCGGAUAAUAUUUUGAACCGCAUGGUUCAAAAGUGAAAGACGGUCUUGCUGUCACUUAUAGAUGGAUCCGCGCUGCAUUAGCUAGUUGGUAAGGUAACGGCUUACCAAGGCAACGAUGCAUAGCCGACCUGAGAGGGUGAUCGGCCACACUGGAACUGAGACACGGUCCAGACUCCUACGGGAGGCAGCAGUAGGGAAUCUUCCGCAAUGGGCGAAAGCCUGACGGAGCAACGCCGCGUGAGUGAUGAAGGUCUUCGGAUCGUAAAACUCUGUUAUUAGGGAAGAACAUAUGUGUAAGUAACUGUGCACAUCUUGACGGUACCUAAUCAGAAAGCCACGGCUAACUACGUG
RNAcentral lists this ribosomal RNA (497 nucleotides) under uncultured bacterium. RNAcentral's name for it is "partial 16S ribosomal RNA". It matches the Rfam family "Bacterial small subunit ribosomal RNA", at positions 28 to 507 of the family's 1533-position model. The record is from RNAcentral.